This 301-nucleotide ribosomal RNA is filed under the name uncultured bacterium. RNAcentral describes it as "partial 16S ribosomal RNA". It matches the Rfam family "Bacterial small subunit ribosomal RNA", at positions 509 to 807 of the family's 1533-position model. The record is from RNAcentral.
CAGUCGCCACGGUAAUACGUAGGUGGCAAGCGUUGUCCGGAAUUAUUGGGCGUAAAGGGCUCGCAGGCGGUUUCUUAAGUCUGAUGUGAAAGCCCCCGGCUCAACCGGGGAGGGUCAUUGGAAACUGGGAAACUUGAGUGCAGAAGAGGAGAGUGGAAUUCCACGUGUAGCGGUGAAAUGCGUAGAGAUGUGGAGGAACACCAGUGGCGAAGGCGACUCUCUGGUCUGUAACUGACGCUGAGGAGCGAAAGCGUGGGGAGCAAACAGGAUUAGAUACCCCUGUAGUCCCUGUCUCUUAUAC